This 310-nucleotide ribosomal RNA is filed under the name uncultured bacterium. RNAcentral's name for it is "partial 16S ribosomal RNA". It matches the Rfam family "Bacterial small subunit ribosomal RNA", at positions 503 to 807 of the family's 1533-position model. The record is from RNAcentral.
AAGAGACAGCAGUCGCCGCGGUAAUACAGAGGGUGCUAGCGUUAAUCGGAUUUACUGGGCGUAAAGCGUGCGUAGGCGGCUUCUUAAGUCGGAUGUGAAAUCCCUGAGCUUAACUUAGGAAUUGCAUUCGAUACUGGGAAGCUAGAGUAUGGGAGAGGAUGGUAGAAUUCCAGGUGUAGCGGUGAAAUGCGUAGAGAUCUGGAGGAAUACCGAUGGCGAAGGCAGCCAUCUGGCCUAAUACUGACGCUGAGGUACGAAAGCAUGGGGAGCAAACAGGAUUAGAUACCCGCGUAGUCCCUGUCUCUUAUAC